GACGAACGCUGGCGGCGUGCUUAACACAUGCAAGUCGAACGGAAAGGCCUGCUUUCCCUUGUGGAUUGCGGGUACUCGAGUGGCGAACGGGUGAGUAACACGUGAGUGAUCUGCCCCCAACUUGGGUAUAAGCCUGGGAAACUGGGUCUAAUUCCCGAUAGGACUGCAGGGUGGUGCCUGUGGUGGAAAACGAUUUUCUAGUGGUUGGGGAUGAGCUCGCGGCCUAUCAGCUUGUUGGUGGGGUAAUGGCCUACCAAGGCGGCGACGGGUAGCCGGCCUGGGAGGGUGGACGGCCAAAUUGGGAACGGGAUACGGCCCAGAGUCCUACGGGAGGCAGCAGUGGGGAAUAUUGCACAAUGGGCGGAAGCAUGAUGCAGCGACGCCGCGUGGGGGAUGACGGCCUGCGGGUUGUAAACUCCUUUCGACCGCGAGGAAGCCACCUGGUUGGAAGGGUGGUGACGGUAGUGGUAGAAGAAGCACCGGCUAACUACGU
This 493-nucleotide ribosomal RNA is filed under the name uncultured bacterium. RNAcentral describes it as "partial 16S ribosomal RNA". It matches the Rfam family "Bacterial small subunit ribosomal RNA", at positions 28 to 506 of the family's 1533-position model. The record is from RNAcentral.